CAUGAGCAUUUAUUGUUAGAAGCUUCCCUCUUAGAACUAUCCUUAUUUAAUCCUUUCAGGUUUCUCUUCAUGCUGGUCUCAAAAGAAUGAAUCCUCUUCCAGGGAUUCUUGGGAUUCACUACAUCUUUUCCUUCCUACAGAAGCCCAUGGAGGAGAGGCACCAACAGGUAUAAAGGACUCCAGUGACACAUUUUGGCUUCUGCACAGUUUUUUUUCCAAGCCUUGACCCUGCACUUGAUGGACCAGCUGGCACCACCCAAAUCAAUAAACCGGCUCAUUUGAACUUGAAGUCCCCCACCCAGAAACUGACUCAGCGUAAGAAGACAGCUGUGACUUCGUAUGAUUUCAUCUCUGACCAAUCAGCACUCCUGGCUCACUGGCUUCCCACGACCCACCAAGUUAUCCUUAAAAACUCUGCUUCCUGAAUGCUCGAGGAGACUGAUAUUCGUAAUAAUAAAACUCUAGACUCAGG
Long non-coding RNA from Sapajus apella (tufted capuchin), 472 nucleotides. RefSeq lists it as uncharacterized. The transcript has 2 exons. Lineage: Eukaryota; Metazoa; Chordata; Mammalia; Primates; Cebidae. The record is from RefSeq and is a predicted model, not a curated record.